RNAcentral lists this ribosomal RNA (465 nucleotides) under uncultured bacterium. RNAcentral's name for it is "bacterial SSU rRNA". It matches the Rfam family "Bacterial small subunit ribosomal RNA", at positions 338 to 795 of the family's 1533-position model. The record is from RNAcentral.
CCUANGGGAGGCAGCAGUGAGGAAUAUUGGGCAAUGGACGAAAGUCUGACCCAGCAACGCCGCGUGGAGGAUGAAUGCCGUAAGGUUGUAAACUCCUUUUGAGAGGGACGAAAAUCCAUAUUUCGUAAGGAAUAUGGUUUGACUGUACUUCUAGAAGAAGCCCCGGCUAACUACGUGCCAGCAGCCGCGGUAAUACGUAGGGGGCAAGCGUUGUCCGGAUUUACUGGGUGUAAAGGGCGCGUAGGCGGAUUGGUAAGUCAGAGGUGAAAGCCUGCAGCUUAACUGCAGAACUGCCUUUGAUACUGCAUAUCUUGAGUUCGGAAGAGAGAAGCGGAAUGCCAGGUGUAGUAGUGAAAUACGUAGAUAUCUGGAAGAACACCAGUGGCGAAGGCGGCUUCUUGGUCCGUAACUGACGCUGAGGCGCGAAAGCGUGGGGAGCAAACAGGAUUAGAUACCCCGNUANUC